This 785-nucleotide ribosomal RNA is filed under the name Streptomyces sp. MJ306. RNAcentral describes it as "bacterial SSU rRNA". It matches the Rfam family "Bacterial small subunit ribosomal RNA", at positions 61 to 861 of the family's 1533-position model. The record is from RNAcentral. Lineage: Bacteria; Bacillati; Actinomycetota; Actinomycetes; Kitasatosporales; Streptomycetaceae.
GUCGAACGAUGAAGCCCUUCGGGGUGGAUUAGUGGCGAACGGGUGAGUAACACGUGGGCAAUCUGCCCUUCACUCUGGGACAAGCCCUGGAAACGGGGUCUAAUACCGGAUAACACCGGCUUUCGCAUGGAAGCUGGUUGAAAGCUCCGGCGGUGAAGGAUGAGCCCGCGGCCUAUCAGCUUGUUGGUGGGGUAAUGGCCCACCAAGGCGACGACGGGUAGCCGGCCUGAGAGGGCGACCGGCCACACUGGGACUGAGACACGGCCCAGACUCCUACGGGAGGCAGCAGUGGGGAAUAUUGCACAAUGGGCGAAAGCCUGAUGCAGCGACGCCGCGUGAGGGAUGACGGCCUUCGGGUUGUAAACCUCUUUCAGCAGGGAAGAAGCGAAAGUGACGGUACCUGCAGAAGAAGCGCCGGCUAACUACGUGCCAGCAGCCGCGGUAAUACGUAGGGCGCAAGCGUUGUCCGGAAUUAUUGGGCGUAAAGAGCUCGUAGGCGGCUUGUCACGUCGGGUGUGAAAGCCCGGGGCUUAACCCCGGGUCUGCAUCCGAUACGGGCAGGCUAGAGUGUGGUAGGGGAGAUCGGAAUUCCUGGUGUAGCGGUGAAAUGCGCAGAUAUCAGGAGGAACACCGGUGGCGAAGGCGGAUCUCUGGGCCAUUACUGACGCUGAGGAGCGAAAGCGUGGGGAGCGAACAGGAUUAGAUACCCUGGUAGUCCACGCCGUAAACGUUGGGAACUAGGUGUUGGCGACAUUCCACGUCGUCGGUGCCGCAGCUAACGCAUU